RNAcentral lists this ribosomal RNA (333 nucleotides) under uncultured Cercozoa. RNAcentral describes it as "SSU rRNA". The stretch from base 121 to 333 matches the Rfam family "Eukaryotic small subunit ribosomal RNA", at positions 746 to 955 of the family's 1831-position model. Lineage: Eukaryota; Cercozoa. The record is from RNAcentral.
GAUUUCUGACGAAACUGCUAGCUGGCCCGCCACGCAAGUGUGUGAGUGCCGGCUUGGCGUUUGUCAUCCGUUCGAAUGAUAUGCGUGCUGCCCUUCACUGGGUUGGCGCUGCAUGUUUUCGAUCUUUUACUUUGAAAAAAUUAGAGUGUUUCAAGCAGGCAUGUUUUGCUAUGAAUACAUUAGCAUGGAAUAAUAAUCUAGGACUUUCGGUUCUAUUUUGUUGGUGUUCUGGAGCUGAAGUAAUGAUUGAUAGGGAUAGUUGGGGGUGCUAGUAUUCAGCGGCCAGAGGUGAAAUUCUCGGAUUCGCUGAAGACUAACUUAUGCGAAAGCAUU